CAAUAGCGUAUAUUUAAGUUGUUGCAGUUAAAAAGCUCGUAGUUGGAUUUCGGUUAAGAGCGACCGGUCCGCCGUUUGGUGUGCACUGGUUGGUUUUACCUUCCUGUAGAGGACGUGCUCUGGGUUUAACGACCUGGACUCGGAGUCUACGUGGUUACUUUGAAAAAAUUAGAGUGUUCAAAGCGGGCUUACGCUUGAAUAUUUCAGCAUGGAAUAACACUAUAGGACUCCUGUCCUAUUUCGUUGGUCUCGGGACGGGAGUAAUGAUUAAGAGGAACAGUUGGGGGCAUUCGUAUUUCAUUGUCAGAGGUGAAAUUCUUGGAUUUAUGAAAGACGAACUUCUGCGAAAGCAUUUGCCAAGGAUGUUUUCAUUAA
This 375-nucleotide ribosomal RNA is filed under the name uncultured eukaryote. Its description in RNAcentral is "partial 18S ribosomal RNA". It matches the Rfam family "Eukaryotic small subunit ribosomal RNA", at positions 592 to 976 of the family's 1831-position model. The record is from RNAcentral.